Molecule: ribosomal RNA, 253 nt
Filed under: uncultured bacterium
Lineage: Bacteria
Description: partial 16S ribosomal RNA
Rfam family: Bacterial small subunit ribosomal RNA
Source: RNAcentral
UACGUAGGUGGCAAGCGUUGUCCGGAUUUAUUGGGUUUAAAGGGUGCGUAGGCGGCUUUAUAAGUCAGUGCUGAAAUAUCCCGGCUUAACCGGGAGGGUGGCAUUGAUACUGUAGGGCUUGAGUAAAGUUGAGGUUGGCGGAAUUGACGGUGUAGCGGUGAAAUGCUUAGAUAUCGUAAGGAAGACCAGUGGCGAAGGCGGGUCUCUGGACAGUUCCUGACGCUGAGGCACGAAGGUCAGGGGAGCAAACGGG